RNAcentral lists this ribosomal RNA (425 nucleotides) under uncultured bacterium. RNAcentral's name for it is "bacterial SSU rRNA". It matches the Rfam family "Bacterial small subunit ribosomal RNA", at positions 356 to 773 of the family's 1533-position model. The record is from RNAcentral.
GGGGAAUUUUGGACAAUGGGCGCAAGCCUGAUCCAGCCAUGCCGCGUGUGGGAAGAAGGCCUUCGGGUUGUAAACCACUUUUGUCAGGGAAGAAACGGCCUUUUCUAAUACAAGGGGCUAAUGACGGUACCUGAAGAAUAAGCACCGGCUAACUACGUGCCAGCAGCCGCGGUAAUACGUAGGGUGCAAGCGUUAAUCGGAAUUACUGGGCGUAAAGCGUGCGCAGGCGGCUUUGCAAGACAGAUGUGAAAUCCCCGGGCUCAACCUGGGAACUGCAUUUGUGACUGCAUGGCUAGAGUGCGGCAGAGGGGGAUGGAAUUCCGCGUGUAGCAGUGAAAUGCGUAGAUAUGCGGAGGAACACCGAUGGCGAAGGCAAUCCCCUGGGCCUGCACUGACGCUCAUGCACGAAAGCGUGGGGAGCAAAC